AGAACGAACGCUGGCGGCAUGCCUAAUACAUGCAAGUCGAACGAACACUUCGGUGUUAGUGGCGCACGGGUGCGUAACGCGUGGGAAUCUGCCCUUGGGUUCGGAAUAACAGGUGGAAACGACUGCUAAUACCGGAUGAUAUCGAAAGAUCAAAGAUUUAUCGCCCAGGGAUGAGCCCGCGUAGGAUUAGCUAGUUGGUGAGGUAAAGGCUCACCAAGGCGACGAUCCUUAGCUGGUCUGAGAGGAUGAUCAGCCACACUGGGACUGAGACACGGCCCAGACUCCUACGGGAGGCAGCAGUAGGGAAUAUUGGACAAUGGGCGCAAGCCUGAUCCAGCAACGCCGCGUGAGUGAUGAAGGCCUUAGGGUUGUAAAGCUCUUUACCCGAGAUGAUAAUGACAGUAUCGGAGAAUAAGCACCGGCUAACUACGUGCCAGCAGCCGCGGU
Molecule: ribosomal RNA, 447 nt
Filed under: uncultured soil bacterium
Lineage: Bacteria
Description: bacterial SSU rRNA
Rfam family: Bacterial small subunit ribosomal RNA
Source: RNAcentral